RNAcentral lists this long non-coding RNA (1182 nucleotides) under Ornithorhynchus anatinus (platypus). Its description in RNAcentral is "lncRNA (ENSOANG00000036594.1)". The record is from RNAcentral. Lineage: Eukaryota; Metazoa; Chordata; Mammalia; Monotremata; Ornithorhynchidae.
CUUACCUGAUUCCAGUGCUUAAUACAGUACUUGGCACAGAGUAAGUGCUUAACAAUACCAUCAUAGUAAUAAUAACUGUAGUAUUUGUUAAACGCUUACUAUGUGCCAAGCACUGGGGUGGUUACAAGCAAAUCGGGUUGGACACAGUCCCUGUCCCAUGUGGGCUUCCCAGUCUCAAUUCCCAUUUUACAGGUGAAGCACAGAGAAGUGAAGUGAUUUUCCCAAGGUCACACAGCAGACAAGUGGAGGAGCCAAAUUAGAAUCCAAGACCUUCUGACUCCCAGGCUGGCACUCUAUCCACUAAACCAUACUGCUUCUCGCUUCACUGUGCUGUUUCUCAUCAUUAUUAUCAUUCAUCAUUCAAUCCUAUUUAUUGAGCCCUUACUGUCUGCAGAGCACUGUUCUAAGCGCUUGGAAAGUACAGUUCGGCAACAGAUAGAGACAAUCCCUACCCAACAAUGGGCUCACAAUUAGAUCAGGCGCAGUCUUUGUCCCACAUGGGACUCCCAAUCUAAGGAGAAAGGAGAAAUUUUCAUGACAUGAAUGAGGAAACCGAGGCACAGAGAAGUGAACUGAUUUGCCCAAGGUCACACAGCAGGUAAGAGCACUUGGCUGGGGUUAGAUGUUGGGUCCCUCUGGUCUCCCAGCUCUGAGCAUUUUCCCCUAGGCCACACUGCUUUUCAGCUACUACCCUGAAAGUUCCUGAGUUAUUCUGGAUCUCCUACCCAGAUCACCCUCUGGACCUUAAGCUCAUUAUGGACAGGGAACUGGUCUGCUAAUUCUGUUGUAUUGUACCCUCCUAAGUACUUAGUACAGCACUCUGCACGUAGUAAAUGCUAAAUGAAUACUGUUGAUUGAUCACAAUUGGCAGAAAAAAGAUGAUCCCAACCUAGAAGGGAGGAUACUGGCGUAGUGGCCUAGUGGAUAGAGCACGGGCCUCUUGGAGUCAGAGGAUCUGGGUUCUAAUCCUGUAUAUAUAACUGUAUAUAUUUUCGUUACCCUAUUUAUUUUGUUAAUGAAUUGUACAUCGCCUUGAUUCUAUUUAGUUGCCAUUGUUUUUACGAGAUGUUCUUCCCCUUGACGCUGUUUAGUGCCAUUGUUCUUGUCUGUCCGUCUCCCCCGAUUAGACUGUAAGCCCGUCAAACGGCAGGGACUGUCUCUAUCUGUUGCCGACUUGUUCAU